RNAcentral lists this ribosomal RNA (219 nucleotides) under Methylobacterium sp. RNAcentral describes it as "partial 16S ribosomal RNA". It matches the Rfam family "Bacterial small subunit ribosomal RNA", at positions 1082 to 1302 of the family's 1533-position model. The record is from RNAcentral. Lineage: Bacteria; Pseudomonadati; Pseudomonadota; Alphaproteobacteria; Hyphomicrobiales; Methylobacteriaceae.
AAGUCCCGCAACGAGCGCAACCCACGUCCUCAGUUGCCAUCAUUCAGUUGGGCACUUUGAGGGGACUGCCGGUGAUAAGCCGAGAGGAAGGUGGGGAUGACGUCAAGUCCUCAUGGCCCUUACGGGAGGGGUUACACACGUGUUACAAUGGCGGUGACAGUGGGAAGCGAGACGGGGAGGUUGAGCAAAUCCCCAAAAGCCGUCUCAGUUCGGAUUGCA